GACGAACGCUGGCGGCGUGCUUAACACAUGCAAGUCGAACGGUAAGGCCCUGCUUUUGUGGGGUGCUCGAGUGGCGAACGAGUGAGUAACACGUGAGUAACCUGCCCUGGACUUUGGGAUAACUUCAGGAAAGUCGAGCGAAUACAGGAUAGGUGCUCCUGCGCCAUGGUGGGGGGGGGAAAGCUUAAGGGGAUCGGGAUGGACGCGGGGCUUAACAGCUUGUUGGUGGGGGAGUGGCUUACCAAGGCUUUUAAGGGUAGCCGGCCUGCUAGGGUGCACAGGCCCAAUGGGACUGCGGUAAGGACCAGAGUCCUACGGGAGGCAAGAGGGGGGAAUAUUGCACAAUGGGGCGCAGCCCUGUGCAGCAACUACGGGGGCGGGAUGAGGGCCUUCGGGUUGUAAAACGCUUUCGCCUGUGACGAAGCGUGAAUGACGGUAAUGGAUGAAGAAGCACCGGCUAACUACGUG
RNAcentral lists this ribosomal RNA (468 nucleotides) under uncultured bacterium. RNAcentral describes it as "partial 16S ribosomal RNA". It matches the Rfam family "Bacterial small subunit ribosomal RNA", at positions 28 to 507 of the family's 1533-position model. The record is from RNAcentral.